UCAAGGCAACUGUCAGACUUCAGUGUACAUUCAAACAACGAAGACGUUUUUACCAAUUAUAAGCUACAGCUAGAGUGAGAGAUCUAAAAAUGAAGACUUUCAUUGUUCUUAUUUUGGUUACAUUAAUUUUGAGCGCAAUUUUCGGUCAAAGCCAAGCCGAUGGAAUAUUUGAUAAAAUUGGCGAUAAAAUUCAACAAAUGGGACAUUCCGUGGGCAAAUUUGUGCAAAAUUCAAUGGAUGCCGUCGAGGAUGCUGUGAAAUCAGCAAAAGAUAAACUUUCGUAAAUAAAAGGCGAUGACGCAUGUUUUAACACAAAAAUAAACUCAUCUGCAGCCUUUGGUUGUCAUUUAUGUUCAGAUUAAGCAAAUA
Molecule: long non-coding RNA, 369 nt
Organism: Stomoxys calcitrans (stable fly)
Lineage: Eukaryota; Metazoa; Arthropoda; Insecta; Diptera; Muscidae
Exons: 2
Source: RefSeq, a predicted model, not a curated record